This 301-nucleotide ribosomal RNA is filed under the name uncultured bacterium. Its description in RNAcentral is "partial 16S ribosomal RNA". It matches the Rfam family "Bacterial small subunit ribosomal RNA", at positions 509 to 807 of the family's 1533-position model. The record is from RNAcentral.
CAGCCGCCACGGGAAUACGUAGGGUGCAAGCGUUAAUCGGAAUUACUGGGCGUAAAGCGUGCGCAGGCGGUUGUAUAAGUCAGAUGUGAAAUCCCCGGGCUCAACCUGGGAACUGCAUUUGAGACUGUAUGGCUAGAGUGUGUCAGAGGGGGGUAGAAUUCCACGUGUAGCAGUGAAAUGCGUAGAUAUGUGGAGGAAUACCGAUGGCGAAGGCAGCCCCCUGGGAUAACACUGACGCUCAUGCACGAAAGCGUGGGGAGCAAACAGGAUUAGAUACCCCAGUAGUCCCUGUCUCUUAUAC